Gadus chalcogrammus (walleye pollock) is the source of this 2352-nucleotide long non-coding RNA. RefSeq lists it as uncharacterized. The record is from RefSeq and is a predicted model, not a curated record. The transcript has 3 exons. NCBI's taxonomy places the organism in Eukaryota, Metazoa, Chordata, Actinopteri, Gadiformes, Gadidae.
ACAUAUCGUGACCAAACUUGGUUCAAAGACCCAUGACCUCAUCAUGCGAGUAGGGUUCCAGCUGCAGCCCCGGAGAACAACACCCUGGCGUGACAACAACCCAGGCGCGACGGAAGUAAUCUGGCGUGACGGAAGUGAUUUUUUUUUAUACUUUAUUUUACACACCGCUGAAUCGGAAACCAAAGAUGAACCAUGGAAAGAUCUCGCAGAGCAGCUUGUUCCAGGAACUUGGUUGAAGAAAACUGGAUAUGAUAUCGCAGUACAUGCAUUUUUUGUUGCCUAACUUUUAAGGAAUAAAUCGUUUUUAGAUGUGUUUCUAAUGUUAUUUUUUACCUUCAUUGCUCAGGGACUUCCACCACAGCCAUAUGGGAACGACUGUGGGAUCUUCAUGAUUAUGGUAUACUCGGUCGCAGACUUAAAAUGUACUGAACAGAUAUAACAACGCGUGUGAAUGUCACCAAUUACAUUUUUCCAUCACAGUACGCUUGGUACCUUGCCAUGGAGGCACCAUUCAACCUCACUGUUGUAAGUAGGCAUUAAAUUAAAUGAAAAAAGAGCUGACGAUUGAAAAGAUACGUUUAAAAUAAGAAUUGGAUUUUUGACGUAUGUAAGGUUACAACAUCGAAAAAUUCAUACUUGUAUGCAUAUUUUAUCAUUGUCAAUUCUUGGAAUAUCCCCUUACUUUAGAAAGACAUGCCUGUCCUCAGUAAAUGGUGGUGCACAGUACUGCUUGAGAACUUCCACCUGGAUCGGCACGGCAGAAGGUUCCCACACUUCAUGGAGGAGGCCAAACAAAUGGCGGCUUGACUACUUCCACCAGUCUUCAGACUGAAGUGAAAAAGAGAAGUGAAUGUUGACAAGCUGAACAAAUCCGUCAAACAGCUUUUUUAAAUUCCAUACUGUCAAACACAGUCAAAAUAACGUGAUGGCGAAGACGCCAAACAGGAAUAAAGCCCAUUUCUCAGCAGCUCUUAAAUAAAUCAUGCCAAACUUGCCAACCAGGAAAUAAGUCAAUUUCUCAGCAGCCGUUGGACAUAUCAUAACCAAACUUGGUUGAACCCCAUGAAAUCAUCAUGGGGUCACCCAAACAAUUUGGUGACAUUUAACCUCAGGGGGACGGCAAACAGGAAGUGAGGUCAAAUCUAUGCACAGUGUUCGUGUAUCUGAACCAAACUUGGCGCAUAUUCUUAUGACUCUGUCCUGAUGAUGCCCAAAUAAUUUGAUGACAUUUGACCUCUACGGGGUCAUUAAAAACACAGUGUGAUCAUAUCUCAGUCUAUCUUUACAUUUUUGAUGUGAAACUUGUUGAAAGUGCUGAAGGCCGUGUGUCUGAAGUAGAUCUAUCUUGUUGCUGUGGCUAUUCUGGUAAAUUGCAGACGGGUUGUGUUACCUUGCGACGACGUGCAUGAUCAACGCAACAAACGAUCGCGAAAAUACGUACGGCAACCAUGAUCCGUAGGCGGAUGCAUUGUUAGCAGCAAGUCUAUUCCAUCCCUUAGAAUGCAACUUCAAUGUAUUUUCACUUUGAUAACCAUUUGCCAAUAGCUUUCAUUGUGGGUGAAAUUACUGAGACGGUCAUCAUCUAGCCACCUACCCAAUUAUGUCUGGCCUCCAAAAUUAGUUUAUGGAGUCAUAUUCUGCUUGGCCCCCUCGUUGCUGCUCGCAGCUAUAUUUUAAUAUUGUGUUCUUAUUUCUGCGAUAUGGCUUAUAGUAUUAGCCAUUAAUUAUUAUGUAUUGUGGCAACCCGUCUCUGGCACAGCGCCCCUGGAGGCCCAUGGGGCAGGUUGUGGAGGCGGUGUACCACAGAUUUCCAUCAGAUGGCGCCAGUGAGAGCAUUGGUGUCCAGCCAAUUAUUGAAAUGCGGAGCACCUGAGGAGGCGCGAACCAGGCUCUCCUGGUUCGCGUGUGCGGAGGGUGACGGGAUUCCACCCGGAGGAACGAGACUAUGGAUUCCUCAAAAGCUAGGUUUAAUGGUAAUGUACUUUCUGUUUGAUUAAAAGUGUCGUUUUGGCUUUACGUUAGCUCCAGUUUGUGUGCUAUUUGUAACAGGGCGGUUCACUCCCCAAGCCGGGUUGCCACAGUAUGAACUCGUGAAUGAACAGUCAACAUGAAGAUCAUAACCUUUGUGUUGUUCUUGGAGAGUGAGAGCAGCAUUCGUGUUACGGUCGAAUGUAAACUAGUUCAAUGGAGGUCUUUGGUCUGUCAGGAUCAACACAUCAUCUGGGACAACGCAGCAGUGAAGAGCCACAGUACUUUUCCGUGUGCUGCCAAUAAGGUCUUAUCAAAGACCGAGACCAUGUUACCAUCUUUACAUUCUUUGUAAAAGAAAAAUUACAACGUUUUAUACGUUUU